RNAcentral lists this ribosomal RNA (406 nucleotides) under uncultured bacterium. RNAcentral describes it as "bacterial SSU rRNA". It matches the Rfam family "Bacterial small subunit ribosomal RNA", at positions 8 to 444 of the family's 1533-position model. The record is from RNAcentral.
AGAGUUUGAUCCUGGCUCAGAACGAACGCUGGCGGCAGGCUUAACACAUGCAAGUCGAGCGCCCAGCAAUGGGAGCGGCGGACGGGUGAGUAACACGUGGGAACAUGCCCUUCGGUACGGGACAACUCAGGGAAACUUGAGCUAAUACCGCAUACGCCCUAACGGGGAAAGAUUUAUCGCCGAAGGAUUGGCCCGCGUCUGAUUAGCUAGUUGGUGAGGUAACGGCUCACCAAGGCUUCGAUCAGUAGCUGGUUUGAGAGAGCGACCAGCCACACUGGGACUGAGACACGGCCCAGACUCCUACGGGAGGCAGCAGUGGGGAAUCUUGGACAAUGGGGGAAACUCUGAUCCAGCCAUGCCGCGUGAGUGAUGAAGGCCCUAGGGUUGUAAAACUCUUUCGGCGGGG